This 491-nucleotide ribosomal RNA is filed under the name uncultured bacterium. Its description in RNAcentral is "bacterial SSU rRNA". It matches the Rfam family "Bacterial small subunit ribosomal RNA", at positions 30 to 513 of the family's 1533-position model. The record is from RNAcentral.
AUUGAACGCUGGCGGCAGGCCUAACACAUGCAAGUCGAGCGGUAGAGAGGUGCUUGCAUCUCUUGAGAGCGGCGGACGGGUGAGUAAUGCCUAGGAAUCUGCCUAGUGGUGGGGGAUAACGUUCGGAAACGGACGCUAAUACCGCAUACGUCCUACGGGAGAAAGCGGGGGGAUCUUCGGACCUCGCGCCAUUAGAUGAGCCUAGGUCGGAUUAGCUAGUUGGUGAGGUAAUGGCUCACCAAGGCGACGAUCCGUAACUGGUCUGAGAGGAUGAUCAGUCACACUGGAACUGAGACACGGUCCAGACUCCUACGGGAGGCAGCAGUGGGGAAUAUUGGACAAUGGGCGAAAGCCUGAUCCAGCCAUGCCGCGUGUGUGAAGAAGGUCUUCGGAUCGUAAAGCACUUUAAGUUGGGAGGAAGGGUAGUAACCUAAUACGUUGCUACUUUGACGUUACCGACAGAAUAAGCACCGGCUAACUUCGUGCCAGCA